This is a long non-coding RNA of Hemicordylus capensis (graceful crag lizard), 3299 nucleotides long. RefSeq lists it as uncharacterized. The transcript has 3 exons. NCBI's taxonomy places the organism in Eukaryota, Metazoa, Chordata, Lepidosauria, Squamata, Cordylidae. The record is from RefSeq and is a predicted model, not a curated record.
GGUCUGGCUGCAGUAACACACAAGCGCAGCAGCGGCAGCAGCAACGACUAAGUCUCUGCACUGCCCUGACGUCACGGGCCGACACGGCUCCCCUUAAAAGGGCAACGCCGCGCUGCUCGAGGCAAGCGAGCCGACCAAGGCUUCGAAGGGGACCGCAAUGGAAACGGUAAUGUGCUGCGAAUGCAAAGCAAGCCCGGCUGUUGCGGUGGCCGUGCUCUGCACGACGACUGGAACAUGUUGAGCUGUUAAUGUUAAAAUGUUGCCGCAGUGCAAUUGGCCUCCUGUAAAAAAAAAAAGCAUUGGGGAAAGAAUAAUUGCUCUUCUACUGGAAGAGAAAGUUGCCCCAGCAUGUGAAGGAGAUAAUAAAGCGACGUCUACCUUUGUUUACUAUAUAAUGGGAAGGUGUGCAAUGUAAAGCCUAGGGGCUACAUCCUCCUACACAUGGACUGUGAUACCAGACAGCCUUCUCUCCAACCUGGGAUUCAGCUUUAAACCAGCAGCGAAACUGUUACAGAGACAAGUGUUUGAUGCUCAGAGGGAAGCAAGCCUCCAUUUGGGUCAGAACAACAAAGGCAAGUAACCUGAACUGGUGCAAGCAGCCUGAACAAGCAAAGCACCCUGGAUCUUGAAUGCAUAAUAAAUCGGAAUUUCUAUAGAAUUCAGCUUCUAUAGAAUUUCAGAAAGAGUAAACAGGUGUCUUUGACAAAAAGACAAGCCCUGGAAAAAUGAGUAACGAUGCCCUAAAAUACAAUCAAGACAAGGUCUAAAAUAAUUGAUUAAAUUCAGUAUACUAGUGGUACCCUUUUGCCUUGGCAAUCCAACUGAAUAGGAGCCCACCCAUACAUUUUUCCUUGCCUCUACAAAAGACAUCCCUUUUUUCUUGAACCUUCCCAUAUUUGCAGUCCCUGCUAGAAGAGCUCAGAAGGAAAAACCUUUAACUAGUCUCUGCUUUUAGGUAUGCAGAUCUUCAGAUGUAGGAUUGUGGCAAGUACUCUGCUCCUUUACUGUCCUGGAUUCCAUCCUGUUGGGUGCUCCACUGUUGUACUCUACCCUGUCUUUCCUCAACUUCUCAGGAGUGCUCACAUGGCUGAUGUCACAUUGAAUUGCCCUGGCUAGUUCCAAGCAGUCCCUCCUCCUCAUCUCCUCACAUUUGAGUUUCUGAGUUAGCCUCCCCAGUCCCCUUGGGAAGCUGAUAUCUACACUGGUGCUUGAAACCACCAAUCAGCCUUGGCCCACCUGGUGCCUCAGUCUGCAAUGACAGCCAUAACUGUGGACUCUUCCUUGCCUACUGCUUUGGUAGCACCUUUUUGACAGAACCCAUACAUCUCCUCAAUAAGAUCCCCUCCUUUGUCUUUACCCACAAAACAGCAGACCAUUGGACAGGUAUAACAGUUGCUCUUUACUCCUCCUUUCUCCCUCUCCCUCUUUCCCCCCUUUCCACUCACAUCCUAUCACCCACCAACUGCUAGGCUAUCUGAGCCUCCACCUCCCCACUUUUCCCCUCUCCCUCCUUGGGAGCUGCUUUCACUUCUUGUAUUACUAAGGUUGCCAAAUGCCAUAUUUUCACAUUGUGUUCCUGCUCUGUAAAAAUAAACUUUAUUUCUUAUUUCAAAAAUACUUGUCUAUGUCUGCUCCUCUGAAGUAACUAUUCGGCCUGAGAGCUAUAUGGGACUUCCUUGUUCAUAGGAAUCCCACUUACUGGGAGCAUCAACAACGAAAGGCUCUAUUGCAUCCAUGCCCUGCUGGUUGACUUCUAAGACAGUAAGGAAGAGCUUGGAAACCUCCCUUGGCCCUUUCAGCUUAGAAACAGCCCUCUCCACCUUAAAACUGUUCAGUUUGGAAAACUGAGGAGUGGGUAUGGAAACGUGACAGGACUGAUGCUGAGUUAAUUUAAUCUCUGGUUUAUUUUUAAAUUGUUAAAUGUUAAGUUUUUUGUAUAUGUUUUUAACUGGUUUUAUGCUAUUGUUAACCACCCAGAGAUAAAAGUUUGGGGCACUGUACAGAUUUGAUAAAUAAAUAAAAUUAUAUGCCAAGACAGAAUUUAGAGGGAGGUCAGACUCUGCUCAUAACGUCUCAGAGAUUUUCAAACUAGGAGAGGUUGUUUCCACUUCUGCCAUUUCCAAGAUUUUUCCAUGUCACUCACUAGUGAAAAACAGACUACUUUAUGGGAACUAUAGUUAAGUAAUCUUUAUCAGUGGUAUACUUCUGCAAAGAGAACCUUUUACAUGGCUCCACCAAGAGCAGAGUCCAUCAGCCUCCCUAUAACUGGCAAAUGGAGAGAAAGCAAUAGCAACUCCUGGUACUGCUUGGUCCUUCAUACUCCACUUGCAAAUAUGUAAAUAAAGAGAUAUUGCAAAAUCAAGAUUCCAAUAUUCUGUCCCCUGGGUAGCUUGGAUUGUAUUUCCUUUUGUAGCUGAAGAGUCCAUUCCUAGAACAGAGCCAUUUAUUUAUUUACUAAUAAAUAAAUGCAUGCCAGUAUCCACUUUGAUUCCACUAUGCAUUAGGCUAAAGACUGCUCUAUGGCCUGUUUUCAAUUGCCAAGCAUUGAGGAGGCAGCAACAAGCUUGGCUUCAUACAGUCUCUUUGCACAUCUUUGAUCUCUGGAGGCAAGUUGUCUGCUCAUAUAAUUUAAAGCAGCCUCAAGACUAUUCUUUACAUUUAUAAAAUUGUCAGACCAGCUCUCCAUCAUUGGAAAAAGAUUUAAAGGUUCUUGUUCUCUUGCUUCUAACCUAUAUCAACUACAUGAGAAUGGCAUGGAGUCAAUAGGCUAGACUAGGAGUCUUCAUCCCCUUCUUCAUCUUUCUUCCCCUCCAGGAAGCAAAGAUGGAUUCCCGCCCCACCCCCGGUUUUGUUGCUUAGAGGUGGAAAUCAAAAAUAAUUUUGCAUAAAUCUUUAUGUGGUGAGCUAGCUGCUCAGAUGAAGUAGAGUGGUAGCUUGCAUUCUGCAAACUGCAGUUUGCAAUCUGCAAAAAGUAUGCAUUCUGCAUUCUUCAAGCUUGCAUUCUGCAAACACUACUCUGAAAGGUGAAGGAGCACCUUUCAAAGAGAUGACACUCUUAUAUUUACCAGGGGGAGAACAAUGGUCCUAUUUUGCAUCCCUCUAGCAAUUGCAUCCCUCUAGCAUCCCUCUAGCAAUUGUUGCUAGUGUCUCUACCUUGUGUUUCUUUCAGAUUGUGAACCCUUUGGGGACAGGAACUUCCUUCUUCUUUCUAUGUAAACCACUUUGAUGAUUUUUGUUGUUGAAAAUCAGUAUAUUAUGAUUAUUAAUAACAAUAAUAAAUAAAUAAAUCUAGAAUGAUA